This 1609-nucleotide unclassified non-coding RNA is filed under the name Helianthus laciniatus. Its description in RNAcentral is "partial external transcribed spacer". Lineage: Eukaryota; Viridiplantae; Streptophyta; Magnoliopsida; Asterales; Asteraceae. The record is from RNAcentral.
CUUUUUGUGCAUAAUGUAUAUAUAGGGGGGUGGUAGUACUCUUGGGGUAGAGAGGCAUGUGCUGGGAUGGCAUGCCAAGGCAUGUGCUGGGAUGGCAUGCCUUGGUGUGUGCUGGGAUGGCAUGCCAAGGACAAGCAUGUGCUAGGAAGGCAUGCCAAGGCCAAGCCAAGGCCAAGGCAAGCACAGGCAUUGUGAGCGAGACGAGACGGUUACGAUUACCCCAAGAGUGCCCAAGGGAGAGGAAGGUGUCAAACGCAUGCUGAGCCCCACUUCGGUAGUUUGGCACCCCCAUAGGCAUUCAGGCAAGCGUGCCUAUGGGAGAAGUCGGUUGAGCUUGUCAGCCAUGUUGGGUAUUAUUGUCUGAACGAGAUGAUGGCACAAGGAUGCUUGCUUUAAGGUAACGUUCCGGCAGCACAGCCAGCCCGCAAUUGCUAGUUCAAGCGGGUGGAAUCUGCCUAUAGGGGCGUUGCUUGCUUGUUGUGGAAUUGGGACACGCCCAAUAUCUAUCAUCAACCGAUGUAGUUCCUGCAUGGCCCCAUAGGUAUUCAGGCAAGCGUGCCUAUGGGUAAAGUCGCUAGAGCUUGCCAACACCCAUGUUAGCUGUAGUUUGGACCGAUGAUGGCACGAGGAUGCUUGCUUUAAGGUAACAUUCCGGCAGCACAGCCAGCCCGCAAUUGCUAGUUCAAGCGGGUGGAAUCUGCCUAUAGGGGUGUUGCUUGCUUGCUGUGAAUUUGGGACACGCCCAAUAUCUAUCAUCGACCCAACGAAGUGCUCAACAUGGGUUGCUGGGGGCUAUUUUGGCACUGACGGUUCACUUGUUUGCUUGGGUUUGAUAAACGUUUAGAUGUCAUGAUGCUUGGGAUCCAAUAAAUUUAUGUGGGAAGCUGAGAGGUGGAACCCAAUGUCAUUCACCAGACGGCUUAGCUUCGUCAGUGUGUAUAAUAUGUCAUUGAACCCCAAUCCUUGAUGCCAACCUGAUUAUGACUUUUGGAUUGCAAUUAUCAUGGCUAUCAAAAACUGAGUAGGAGUCAUGGAAUAAGUGAGCAGAUUGUAGCCUUUAUAGCUGUCAGCUUUCGCAUCGCCCGGUGUGUUUUGGGAAUCGCUUUGUGCAUUUGGUUGCCUGUCGUGCCUCUUGGCAUACGGUGGGUGCCACUUGCUGGGUGGUUUUUGGAAACAUCCACCGUAAAGGUGCAUGAGUGGUGUUUGGUUUGUUACGGGUGGUUGGCUCUUUGCUUGCGCAACAACUGCCACCCGACUUACCUCUUCAGAUGUUUGCCUAGGCUUGUAUAGCCUAAGCAGAUUGUGGGUUUCCUGUGUUGCCUACCUACGUCAAGGAAUUGUCCCGAUCGAUCAAAGUUGCUUUCGUCUUGUGUCGUCUUGAUGGCAUAAGAUGAACCAUGAAGCUGUCUCUUUGCACCGCAUCGUUAAUGCAUGCGUUGAUGUUGUGGCCCAUUGAGCAUUGCUUGGUACCUUGGAUACGGAACCUUAUGUGGGCAUGGGUCCUUGGGGAUCCUUGUUCUGCCCUCGUUUAGCGUUCGCGCUUCUCUUAGAAUGACUGCCUAGCCGGAAUGGAAACCCAUUGUGGAUGGGCAUCGUCAAAGAGGAAUGC